This 467-nucleotide ribosomal RNA is filed under the name uncultured bacterium. RNAcentral's name for it is "partial 16S ribosomal RNA". It matches the Rfam family "Bacterial small subunit ribosomal RNA", at positions 28 to 507 of the family's 1533-position model. The record is from RNAcentral.
GACGAACGCUGGCGGCGUGCUUAACACAUGCAAGUCGAACGAUGACGACCGAGCUUGCUCGGUCUGAUUAGUGGCGAACGGGUGAGUAACACGUGAGCAACCUGCCCUUCACUCUGGGAUAACCUCGGGAAAUCGGGGCUAAUACCGGAUAUGAGCUCCUGUCGCAUGGCGGGUGUUGGAAAGUUUUUCGGUGAAGGAUGGGCUCGCGGCCUAUCAGUUUGUUGGUGAGGUAGUGGCUCACCAAGGCGAUGACGGGUAGCCGGCCUGAGAGGGCGACCGGCCACACUGGGACUGAGACACGGCCCAGACUCCUACGGGAGGCAGCAGUGGGGAAUAUUGCACAAUGGGCGAAAGCCUGAUGCAGCGACGCCGCGUGAGGGAUGAUGGCCUUCGGGUUGUAAACCUCUUUCAGCAGGGAAGAAGCGAAAGUGACGGUACCUGCAGAAGAAGCGCCGGCUAACUACGUG